Molecule: transfer RNA, 74 nt
Filed under: Phycisphaerae bacterium
Lineage: Bacteria; Pseudomonadati; Planctomycetota; Phycisphaerae
Also listed under: 1 other name
Description: tRNA-Val
Rfam family: tRNA
About the family: Transfer RNA (tRNA) molecules are approximately 80 nucleotides in length. Their secondary structure includes four short double-helical elements and three loops (D, anti-codon, and T loops). Further hydrogen bonds mediate the characteristic L-shaped molecular structure. tRNAs have two regions of fundamental functional importance: the anti-codon, which is responsible for specific mRNA codon recognition, and the 3' end, to which the tRNAs corresponding amino acid is attached (by aminoacyl-tRNA synthetases). tRNAs cope with the degeneracy of the genetic code in two manners: having more than one tRNA (with a specific anti-codon) for a particular amino acid; and 'wobble' base-pairing, i.e. permitting non-standard base-pairing at the 3rd anti-codon position.
Source: RNAcentral
GGGCGGUUAGCUCAGUUGGCUAGAGCACCAGCUCGACACGCUGGGGGUCGUAGGUUCAAGUCCUAUACCGCCCA